UCUUCCCUGUACGAUCUCCAGCAGGACGCUACAAGUACGACUUUGCCGAAGCCAAACACGCCUGUGAACAGCAGGGCGCUUCCCUCGCCACCUACCACCAGCUGUACGAGGCCUGGCGGGACGGACUCGAGCACUGCGCGUGCGGGUGGCUGUCGGACCGCACUGAACGUUAUCCAAUGCAGACAAAGAAAGAUGGCUGCGGCAACCUCGUUGGUAUCAAAGUGUGUGGACGCGGCGUUGCGGACGCCUAGGUGCUUCCGCACACUGAGCAUCUGUGACUGAGGUACAGAUAUAGAUUCCAGAACAGUGCCUAUCUAGUUCUAGUUCUAAAUGGGUUAGCGUUGAGAUCAGGCGUGGUUCUGGAUAGUCUCUGCGUAUCGAAUAACGUCUACUAAAUUUGACCCAGGCAUGGUUCUGGAUACGCAGGGCCUGAGCAUGGUUCUAGAUAAAGCACGGUUCUGGAUACAACAACGGAUGAUGCCGACGACAACAGAACAGUAGUCUGGUAGGAUGUCGUUCUAGACCUAACAUUUUCAAAUAGUAGGUAGAGCCCUGCUUGCCGCUCAGAAACCAGUCUAUCUUUAAUAGGGGCAUGCAUGUCAGUUGCAGAGAAAGGGCAUUCACCAUUGCUUCAAAU
Branchiostoma belcheri (Belcher's lancelet) is the source of this 637-nucleotide long non-coding RNA. RefSeq lists it as uncharacterized. The record is from RefSeq and is a predicted model, not a curated record. The transcript has 2 exons. Lineage: Eukaryota; Metazoa; Chordata; Leptocardii; Amphioxiformes; Branchiostomatidae.